GGGGAAUAUUGGGCAAUGGGCGCAAGCCUGACCCAGCAACGCCGCGUGAAGGAAGAAGGCUUUCGGGUUGUAAACUUCUUUUGUCAGGGACGAAAAAAAUGACGGUACCUGACGAAUAAGCCACGGCUAACUACGUGCCAGCAGCCGCGGUAAUACGUAGGUGGCAAGCGUUAUCCGGAUUUACUGGGUGUAAAGGGCGUGUAGGCGGGAAAGCAAGUCAGAUGUGAAAACUAUGGGCUCAACCCAUAGCCUGCAUUUGAAACUGUUUUUCUUGAGUGAAGUAGAGGUUGGCGGAAUUCCUAGUGUAGCGGUGAAAUGCGUAGAUAUUAGGAGGAACACCAGUGGCGAAGGCGGCCAACUGGGCUUUUACUGACGCUGAGGCUCGAAAGCGUGGGGAGCAAACA
RNAcentral lists this ribosomal RNA (404 nucleotides) under uncultured Oscillospiraceae bacterium. RNAcentral describes it as "bacterial SSU rRNA". It matches the Rfam family "Bacterial small subunit ribosomal RNA", at positions 356 to 774 of the family's 1533-position model. The record is from RNAcentral. Lineage: Bacteria; Bacillati; Bacillota; Clostridia; Eubacteriales; Oscillospiraceae.